AUGGCUGGUGGAUCCAGGGGGAGGCUUUCCGCCACCGCCGCCGUGGAUCCAGGGGGAGCGAUGCAUCGUCGCGGGGUAUCUAGGGGUAGGGAGGCCGCCGACGCGGUGGAUCCAGGGGGGAGGGAGGCCGACGUGGUGGUUGCGGCGGAGGGGGGGCCAGCGGAGACCGGAGGCGCGUCAGGACAAGGGGGCGGCGACGCACCAGUAGGAGGUGGGAGCGGCGGCCUCGCGCCUGAGGAGGUGGGGGUGGCGACCUCGCGCCGGAGGAGGCGGGGCCGGCUGCGGCAGGGGGCGCUUCGGGACCCGGGGCGGCGACGCGCCAAGAGGAGUUGGGGGCGGCGGCUUCGCGCUAGAGGAGGCGGGGCCGGCGUCGCGUCCGGAAGGAGGCGGGGGCGGGGCAAGGUGGGCACCGGCUAG
This 417-nucleotide ribosomal RNA is filed under the name Triticum aestivum (bread wheat). RNAcentral describes it as "partial small subunit ribosomal RNA". Lineage: Eukaryota; Viridiplantae; Streptophyta; Magnoliopsida; Poales; Poaceae. The record is from RNAcentral.